AACGAACGCUGGCGGCAUGCCUAACACAUGCAAGUCGAACGAGACCUUCGGGUCUAGUGGCGCACGGGUGCCUAACGCGUGGGAACCUGCCCUUAGGUUCGGAAUAACUCCCCGAAAGGGGUGCUAAUACCGGAUAAUGUCUUCGGACCAAAGAUUUAUCGCCUUUGGAUGGGCCCGCGUUGGAUUAGCUAGUUGGUAGGGUAAAAGCCUACCAAGGCGACGAUCCAUAGCUGGUCUGAGAGGAUGAUCAGCCACACUGGGACUGAGACACGGCCCAGACUCCUACGGGAGGCAGCAGUGGGGAAUAUUGGACAAUGGGCGAAAGCCUGAUCCAGCAAUGCCGCGUGAGUGAUGAAGGCCUUAGGGUUGUAAAGCUCUUUUACCCGGGAUGAUAAUGACAGUACCGGGAGAAUAAGCUCCGGCUAACUCCGU
RNAcentral lists this ribosomal RNA (432 nucleotides) under uncultured bacterium. Its description in RNAcentral is "partial 16S ribosomal RNA". It matches the Rfam family "Bacterial small subunit ribosomal RNA", at positions 29 to 506 of the family's 1533-position model. The record is from RNAcentral.